GACCACAGCACUUUGAAACACAUGUUUCCGUAUGAUCACCGAAGUUAAGCAACGUCGAGCCUGGUCAGUACCCAGGUGAAUGACCGCUUAGGUAUACCAGGUGCUGUAAG
Molecule: non-coding RNA, 110 nt
Organism: Acanthosepion pharaonis
Lineage: Eukaryota; Metazoa; Mollusca; Cephalopoda; Sepiida; Sepiidae
Source: the annotation of a GenBank genome assembly